RNAcentral lists this ribosomal RNA (514 nucleotides) under uncultured bacterium. RNAcentral's name for it is "bacterial SSU rRNA". It matches the Rfam family "Bacterial small subunit ribosomal RNA", at positions 791 to 1304 of the family's 1533-position model. The record is from RNAcentral.
UAGUCCACGCCGUAAACGAUGGGUACUAAGUGUCGGCAGAUUACUGUCGGUGCCGCAGCUAACGCAGUAAGUACCCCGCCUGGGGAGUACGGCCGCAAAGGUUGAAACUCAAAGGAAUUGACGGGGGCCCGCACAAGCGGUGGAGCAUGUGGUUUAAUUCGACGCAACGCGAAGAACCUUACCCAGGUUAGACACGCUUGUAUUAGGAUCCCGAAAGGGUGACGAGUCCGUAAGGACAGCUUGCGCAGGUGCUGCAUGGCUGUCGUCAGCUCGUGCCGUGAGGUGUUGGGUUAAGUCCCGCAACGAGCGUAACCCCUGUCUUCAGUUGCCAUCGGGUGAUGCCGAGCACUCUGGAGAGACUGCCCAGGAUAACGGGGAGGAAGGUGGGGAUGACGUCAAGUCAGCAUGGCCUUUAUGCCUGGGGCUACACACCGUGCUACAAUGGCCGGCACAAAGGUUGCAAUCCCGUNAGGGGGAGCCAAUCUCAAAAACCGGCCUCAGUUCAGAUUGUGGU